RNAcentral lists this transfer RNA (75 nucleotides) under Streptomyces hoynatensis. RNAcentral describes it as "tRNA-Gly". It matches the Rfam family "tRNA". Rfam says of the family: Transfer RNA (tRNA) molecules are approximately 80 nucleotides in length. Their secondary structure includes four short double-helical elements and three loops (D, anti-codon, and T loops). The record is from RNAcentral. RNAcentral also lists the same sequence under 11 other names. Lineage: Bacteria; Bacillati; Actinomycetota; Actinomycetes; Kitasatosporales; Streptomycetaceae.
GCGGGUGUAGUUCAGUAGCAGAACACCCUCUUUCCAAGAGGGAGGCGCAGUGUGCGAUUCCUGUCACCCGCUCCA